UGAGAGGAUGAACGGCCACACUGGAACUGCUGACACGGUCCAGACUCCUACGGGAGGCAGCAGUGGGGAAUCUUCCGCAAUGGGCGAAAGCCUGACGGAGCAACGCCGCGUGAGUGAUGACGGCCUUCGGGUUGUAAAACUCUGUGAUCCGGGACGAAAAGGCAGUGUGCGAAGAACAAACUGCAUUGACGGUACCCGGAAA
RNAcentral lists this ribosomal RNA (202 nucleotides) under uncultured Dialister sp. Its description in RNAcentral is "partial 16S ribosomal RNA". It matches the Rfam family "Bacterial small subunit ribosomal RNA", at positions 293 to 485 of the family's 1533-position model. The record is from RNAcentral. Lineage: Bacteria; Bacillati; Bacillota; Negativicutes; Veillonellales; Veillonellaceae.